This 1613-nucleotide long non-coding RNA is filed under the name Taeniopygia guttata (zebra finch). RNAcentral's name for it is "lncRNA (ENSTGUG00000019372.1)". Lineage: Eukaryota; Metazoa; Chordata; Aves; Passeriformes; Estrildidae. The record is from RNAcentral.
GGCCCCGCGCCGCUCGGGUCUCCCCCCGCGGUCACCGCGCAGUCUGCGGACGGCUGGCUGGCGGCCACCGCCGCCCCCGACGCCGUCUGUGCCCGUGCCCGUGCGUUCGAAAUGCAAGAGAUCUCCGCUCCGACUUCCGGGUUUUGCUCUACCGUCUCGCGCAUGCGCGCUGCCAUCGCCGCAGCGACAGGAGAGUCCAGCUCUCCGUCCAGCCGCCGGCCUGGCCAGCGCCGCCGCUGCGAAUUGGGAGCUAUUCCCCGGCACCUGCCGGACGGUGCUUUCGCACUCUCACGGAUUCCCGUCAUGGAACGCAUCACUGGGCGCUCCAGGCGUCUGACCGCCGCACCGCGCUCCCGCCGCCUCCUGCGUCCGCUGGUUCCCACUGCCCCCCCCCUCUCGCCUGCACCGCGGGCUGCUUUGAACUCCCCACCCGCGCAGCUGCGAGAGUUCUCUCCUCUCUCUCACUUUUCCCUCCGCUCUGCACUCACGACUGCCCCUCCCCCCAGGAGCCGCCGGCACCGCUGCCCCCCCACUGUGGGUUCGGACUCGGGCAGUGGCCAGUCCCUUCCCCCACCGAGGGCUGCGUCUGUGCCUAGCUUGUCUCACUGUCUGGGGAUUUUCUGCAGCUGAGGAGCUUAGAAAUUGAGAUUUGAGGAGUCUUGAGGAACAGUGUGAACCUGGAGACAUAGGACAUGAUGAGACACCACCCCCCCUGAUCCUCUUCGGGAGGCAAUUUGCUUCCCCUGGUGAGGAAAAUUGCCCGAAGCUGCUGGCUGGGCCAUCUUCCUCCUUGUGCUCCCAUAGGAGCCUUAGCUGUUCAGUCUAAAAUGCCGCGUUGUGAAAAUGACUCUUAUUGUCCUUGCUAAAGGCAAAAGUUUUUGCGGCAGUCUUAUCUCUCUUUUUUUUUUUUUUUUCUUUUUCCUGUGGCUCGGUAAUACAGUUGCUUAUUGAUCCCUUACGAAAAUUUAACUCAAACAAAAGAUGUACAUCUGUGUGCGGGUGAGUAUACUGCACCCACAAUAACAAAGCUUUCAUCUCAUUUGAGGCUAUCUCUACCAGAUGGGUAAAAGUCUUGCCCUGUAGGGCUGAAAAAAUUUUUUGUCUGUCCUUGGGAGCAUCCCUUCCCCAUGUUCUUAAUUUCAACCAUUCUCACCAAAAGCUGAGUCACCACGAGGUCAGUUCGGAGAUGGCACUGUUCAUCGUCCAGCAGGUCACAGGCGAGAAAUCCCAGGCGCGCUUCUGGUUUUCCUCCUCCUGGCUGUCCUCCAGACGAGCUGUCUUGGUGAAGGUUGGAGGUUGUUUGCUGUUUCUUCUUGUUCUUGCUGAUGCCCGCCAAGGGACGCCAAUUGUCGGAAUCUGUGGGUAUUGGUGAUUCCGAGAUUGUAGAAAAUCUCUGUCUUUCUGCCCCGUUGCCAAAGAAGAAGCCAUAGUUCGUCUGUGCUGGUUUCAAGGUUGUUUAUUUUUGCUUAUCUAUAACAAGUUCUGCUGCCCUGCCGCAGGUCUGUCCUGCAGGGCAGCGUGCGGGGCUCUGCCCCUCAGUGGGAUGGUACAAACAUUAUAUACAAAAAAUUACGUGUACUAUAUUUACAAUAAUGUGCCAAUAUCUAUCAUCU